This 76-nucleotide transfer RNA is filed under the name Verrucomicrobiota bacterium JB024. Its description in RNAcentral is "tRNA-Thr". It matches the Rfam family "tRNA". From Rfam's summary of the family: Transfer RNA (tRNA) molecules are approximately 80 nucleotides in length. Their secondary structure includes four short double-helical elements and three loops (D, anti-codon, and T loops). Further hydrogen bonds mediate the characteristic L-shaped molecular structure. tRNAs have two regions of fundamental functional importance: the anti-codon, which is responsible for specific mRNA codon recognition, and the 3' end, to which the tRNAs corresponding amino acid is attached (by aminoacyl-tRNA synthetases). tRNAs cope with the degeneracy of the genetic code in two manners: having more than one tRNA (with a specific anti-codon) for a particular amino acid; and 'wobble' base-pairing, i.e. permitting non-standard base-pairing at the 3rd anti-codon position. The record is from RNAcentral. Lineage: Bacteria; Pseudomonadati; Verrucomicrobiota.
GCCGGGUUAGCUCAGUUGGUAGAGCAACUGAUUUGUAAUCAGUAGGUCGUCGGUUCGAUCCCGUCCCCCGGCUCCA